GAUGAACGCUGGCGGCGUGCUUAACACAUGCCAGUCGAACGGGAAUUAUUUUAUUGAAACUUCGGUCGAUUUCAUUUAAUUCUAGUGGCGGACGGGUGAGUAACGCGUGGGUAACCUGCCUUAUACAGGGGGAUAACAGUCAGAAAUGGCUGCUAAUACCGCAUAAGCGCACAGAGCUGCAUGGCUCAGUGUGAAAAACUCCGGUGGUAUAAGAUGGACCCGCGUUGGAUUAGCUUGUUGGCAGGGUAACGGCCUACCAAGGCGACGAUCCAUAGCCGGCCUGAGAGGGUGAACGGACACAUUGGGACUGAGACACGGCCCAGACUCCUACGGGAGGCAGCAGUGGGGAAUAUUGCACAAUGGGGGAAACCCUGAUGCAGCGACGCCGCGUGAAGGAAGAAGUAUCUCGGUAUGUAAACUUCUAUCAGCAGGGAAGAUAGUGACGGUACCUGACUAAGAAGCCCCGGCUAACUACGUG
RNAcentral lists this ribosomal RNA (478 nucleotides) under uncultured bacterium. Its description in RNAcentral is "partial 16S ribosomal RNA". It matches the Rfam family "Bacterial small subunit ribosomal RNA", at positions 28 to 507 of the family's 1533-position model. The record is from RNAcentral.